GAGGGUAUAGCUCAGUGGUGGAGGGUAUAUCUAGCAUGCACGAGGUCCUGGGUUCAAUCCCCAGUACUUCCA
RNAcentral lists this transfer RNA (72 nucleotides) under Camelus bactrianus (Bactrian camel). It matches the Rfam family "tRNA". Rfam says of the family: Transfer RNA (tRNA) molecules are approximately 80 nucleotides in length. RNAcentral also lists the same sequence under 2 other names. The record is from Rfam by way of RNAcentral. Lineage: Eukaryota; Metazoa; Chordata; Mammalia; Artiodactyla; Camelidae.